UAGAUUGACCCUUCAAUAUAUAAAGCGUGAAACUAUGUGUUGAAGGUUUCACCUUAUAAAUUCCAAGUACAAUCCAUGUAUGUAUAUAUUUUUAUUCGAUUCAGAUUUUAAUGAGGUUUAGUUAUUGAAACGAGAUUAAUACAAAGUCGAGUUUCCAAUUUAUAGAUGUCAUCAAAUUAGUCAACUUAAUUUCGGAGAGUUAUCUCCCUUCAGUAAGGUCGCACCCAAAGCUAUAUUACAUUCUCAAGUCAGUAUAUUCGAAGCUCGUCAACACUUGCCUCACAGUGAGAGCGAAUCUGAAACCAAGUGGUUUAUUGUAAGAUUCCUGAUGUGAAACCGUGUGUUGAAACAGAUAUUGUUCUAUUUCGGGACGAUAAUUUUCUUUUUUUUUGCCCAAAUAAACUAUAUAUUUGUU
Molecule: long non-coding RNA, 415 nt
Organism: Octopus sinensis (East Asian common octopus)
Lineage: Eukaryota; Metazoa; Mollusca; Cephalopoda; Octopoda; Octopodidae
Exons: 3
Source: RefSeq, a predicted model, not a curated record